CCCCUCUCAGGAUAGCACCUGGAGAGUUUCCAGUAUUCUAUCAGUCUCCGACUACGGGAGGGAGAGUCAAGCAGAGGCAUACCCAUUCCUUUCCUAGCUUGGGCAGUGACUAGCGAGUGGAAGGCAAUCUGCAACAAGU
Molecule: small nucleolar RNA, 139 nt
Organism: Tachyglossus aculeatus (Australian echidna)
Lineage: Eukaryota; Metazoa; Chordata; Mammalia; Monotremata; Tachyglossidae
Source: RefSeq, a predicted model, not a curated record